Non-coding RNA from Schizosaccharomyces pombe (fission yeast), 279 nucleotides. The record is from the annotation of a GenBank genome assembly. Lineage: Eukaryota; Fungi; Ascomycota; Schizosaccharomycetes; Schizosaccharomycetales; Schizosaccharomycetaceae.
GUUGGAAACCAUAUCUGAACAUGAAAUUCCUAAAAGCCUAUAGCUUGUAGAGUUCAAGGAAUCCGAAAGUAACGAUAAUGCAAGGGCUCUAACUUGACUCCACUGGUUUCGUGGUGUUAAUUUGAUUAAAGCUUGCAAAAUCUCAGGAUUAUUAACAAUUAUCUUCUUUCUCGGCGAAUCAACAAUGCUUCUCAACGUGGUCAAUUGGACUUCAUAGAACUCAUAGUGCAACAAUUUUGAUACAAGGAAACCAAUUGAAUGCGCAUCACAAUACACUGA